Long non-coding RNA from Myxocyprinus asiaticus (Chinese sucker), 413 nucleotides. RefSeq lists it as uncharacterized. The transcript is spliced from 2 exons. The record is from RefSeq and is a predicted model, not a curated record. Lineage: Eukaryota; Metazoa; Chordata; Actinopteri; Cypriniformes; Catostomidae.
CACAGAACACUUAAGCUGGUGCAAUCACAAGGUGUAAACUGUAAGGGCACUUAGCACGUAGGGCACAUGCACUUUUGGAAAUGUCAGCAGGACAGUAAAUGGAGCACCUGAAGUACAGAGGACGUGUGUAUGCAACUUCUUUUCUUUAAUGACAUAUCUGGAAUAUAUGGUGUUUCUUCAACUUCAGGCACUCUCAUGUCACAGUGUGCUAACACGGCAACCUCCACCACCCCGCCACCACCAGUUGAGUCCCAUCCUGCACGGGGGUAGGCUCCUUGCCCAUGGCUCCCAUCUCCAGCAGGAUAUGACGGUUCCGAGUACAACUUCUUCGGACCGCCAGACAGGGCUUACGCCAAAGAGAGACAUUAUAUUUCUGUUUUAUAUUCAUCAAAUAAAUGUCAUCUUAAAUUUCA